UCCAUUUUUUAAUCCGGGAAUAUCUACCGAAUAUAAUAUUUAAUGUAUAUUUUUAUAUUCCUUGUGUGUCUAGGAUAGUAUAUAUAGUUUGGUCUCUUGUCACUUCUAUUUGUUAAUUGACAAAUUUGAGGUAAAACCGUGUGGAAAUUGGAAUCUUCAGUCCUGCACGCUAACAACCUGCUCACUGUUCUUCUUAUCCUUUAUUUUCUUCAGACAUUGGAGUUUGGUGAACUUACAGAUUCCAGAAAGGUGAGAACUUGCUUGAUCUAUCUGGAGCAGUUGACCAACGCACUGAAAGUGUUUGAGAAAAUGGCUCAGUCAAUUGGUCCAAGGCUGUAUAGUUGCUGCAACUGCAGGAAUCAUGUAGGGCUUCACGAUGAUAUCAUCUCCAAGGCUUUUCAGGGAAGAACCGGGAGAGCCUUCCUCUUCUCCCACGCAAUGAACGUCGUGUUAGGCGCUAAAGAAGACAGGUAUCUCCUAACAGGUCUCCACACCGUGGCUGACAUAUCUUGUGCUGACUGCAAUGAACCCUUGGGCUGGAAGUACGAGAGAGCCUACGAGGCCUCGCAAAAGUACAAGGAGGGCAAGUUCAUUUUCGAAAAAGCUAAGAUUGUCAAGGAGGAGGAUUGGUAGUGAAAGAAUAAUUUGGCUACGUCAGAUUCCAGUCUUUAUGGAUUUCAUCAUCAUCAUCAUCCAUUUCUCAGUUCAUUGUCUCUCUCUCACUCUGUGUUGUUAAUCAUGUCAGUCUCUUGUGUUUAAAUAAAUGAAAAGCUGACAUAUUAUUGUAUAUGAUGAGUCCAUCAACCAUGAGCAGAGUCACUUGAGAAAGAAAGUUUGUUACUCCUUAUAAAAAAAUCUGUGUGGGUCAGAAAAUCUCGCCGGCCAAUGAUCCCUUCCACGAUUCGAGAUCUACUAACUCUCUCUAUCUCGAAAAAGAAGAUGAGUGACGAAAAAGCUUCCUCUAAGAAGAAGGAGAGUUUGGGAUGGAUGGAGUGGGUGAGAGGAUGGAGCAGCGUCUUCGGAGAGAUUCUCUUCCAGAGGAUCACCGCCUCUCAUUUGCUCAACCCUCUCCCUCCUCACUUGCGUUGUCACUGGCUCCACCAGCGGCAUUGGCCGUCAGACCGCUAGGCAGCUUGCGGAAGCUGGUGCACAUGUUGUGAUGGCCGUGAGAAACACAAAGGCAGCUCAGGAGCUGAUUCAGCAAUGGCAGAACGAGUGGUCUGGCAAAGGUCUCCCACUUAAUGUAAUGUCGAGGCAAUGGAACUUGAUCUUCUUUCAUUGGAUUCGGUUGCGAGAUUCGCUGAUGCUUGGAACGCUCGUUUGGGACCUUUGCAUGUUCUGAUUAACAAUGCUGGCAUCUUUGCUAUGGGAGAUACAUUUUCUGCAGUAUGUGUUGAGGAAAAAAAUCAACUUAAAUGCUAUACUCUCUAAUUUGGGUAGAGGCGCAGAAAUUCUCAGAGGAUGGAUACGAGCAGCACAUGCAAGUAAACCAUUUAGCUCCAGCUCUUCUUUCAGUACUCCUUUUGCCGUCUCUAAUCCGAGGUUCACCUAGCCGAAUCAUCAAUGUGAAUUCCGUGAUGCAUAGUGUUGGUUUUGUUGAUCCGGAUGACAUGAAUGUUGUUUCUGGUCGCCGCAAGUACUCGAGCGUUGUAGGAUACUCGAGCAGCAAGCUAGCCCAGAUGAGCUUACCGUACCGGCGGCGGCGGCAUGGCGGCGGCGGCAGCGUCAACAUUCUACGUCAACUCUUGUUCGUUUCGUUGACGCAAGAAGCCGCGUCCUGCGGCUGACGCCGACAAAACCUGCGGUCGCGAUAUAAGCCCUGUUCGUUUGGUUGCCGCAGGUUUCAGCGUCAGCGGCAGCGGCAGUGUCAAUGAAGACAGUUGUUGUUCGUUUCGCAGACGCUGACGCUGCCGCAUAUUAUAUCACGACCGCAGGUUUUAUCGGCGUCAGCCGCAGGACGCGGCGUUCGGACGCGGCGUCAGACGCAGCUUCCUGCGUCAACGAAACGAACAAGAGUUAACGCAAAAUGUUGACGCUGCCGCUGCCGCCGGUACCUGCGGCAACCAAACGAACAGCCCUUGUAUGCGGCAGCGUCAGCGUCUGCGAAACGAACAACAACUGUCCUCAUUGACGCUGCCGCCGCCGCCGCCGCUGAUGCUGCCGCUGACGCCGAAACCUGCGACAACCAAACGAACAGGGCUUUAGUCUUUGGUUCCCUUUAUUUUCCAGAUUAUGUUUAGUAGCAUUCUUUUCAAAAAGCUGCCUCUGGAAACAGGAGUUAGCGUCAUAUGUCUAUCCCCUGGUGUUGUUCUUACAAAUGUUGCGAGGGAUCUACCCAGGAUUUUUCAAGCUCUUUACGCAGUGAUACCUUAUUUCAUAUUCUCACCUCAAGAAGGUUGUAGAAGUUCUCUCUUCUCAGCCACAGACCCUCAGAUUCCAGAGUACUGGGAGACACUAAAAACCGAUGAUUGGCCUGUUUGCCCAUUCAUCUCCCAAGAUUGCCGACCUACAAAUCCUUCCGAAGAAGCACACAACACAGAAACUGCACAUAGAGUGUGGGAAAAGACACUAGAGUUGGUGGGUCUUCCUGUCGGUGCAGUUGAGAAGCUCUCAUAGAAGGGGAAAAUGUCCAAUGCCGAUAUGGAUCUCAGCAAGAAUAGUCGUCCAAGAAAACAACAACAAAAAGUCCACAUGUUGAAUGUCCCCCUUACAGAUCAAAAGGGUAAGUACUGAGAAGUAGCUAUUUUUUGUUGCUGAAUAUUUUGUAAUCUACUGUACACUGGGGACUGAGUACCCCAGGCAUGUGGUGUGCUCAGAAAAGGACAAAGAAAGGGUGUGAGAAUGUUUGAUUGUUGGUUAAAAAGGCACGCUUUAGCUGCCAUUCCAUGGCUUACUAGCAAAGUCUUCUUCAAAUUUGUCGGAACUGAGUUAAAGAGUGGUGGGUAGUAGUUUCUUGUUUGAGUGGAGGGUAUUUCCGUAAAUGUGUCCCUAGUUUGUGCAAGUCACGUUGCGCAUAUAAAUAUUUGUAGCGGUGAAAGCAUCUCUCAUGGACAGAAGUGGUAUUACCUCACCUUCCUCUUUAUAAUGUUUCUUGCUUAAAUGGGUAUUCCAUGAAAGUGAUUCACACUCACUAUGUAGACCUUAAUUAUGAGUUGGAUUCUUCUCUCUUCA
Molecule: RNA transcript, 3171 nt
Organism: Brassica napus (rape)
Lineage: Eukaryota; Viridiplantae; Streptophyta; Magnoliopsida; Brassicales; Brassicaceae
Gene name: dehydrogenase/reductase SDR family member FEY
Exons: 10
Source: RefSeq, a predicted model, not a curated record